GAGGGUAUAUCUCAGUGGUACAGUGCAUGCCUAGCAUGCAUGAGGUCCUGGGUUCAAUCCUCAGUACCUCUA
Molecule: transfer RNA, 72 nt
Filed under: Camelus bactrianus (Bactrian camel)
Lineage: Eukaryota; Metazoa; Chordata; Mammalia; Artiodactyla; Camelidae
Also listed under: 2 other names
Rfam family: tRNA
About the family: Transfer RNA (tRNA) molecules are approximately 80 nucleotides in length. Their secondary structure includes four short double-helical elements and three loops (D, anti-codon, and T loops).
Source: Rfam by way of RNAcentral